Molecule: ribosomal RNA, 253 nt
Filed under: uncultured bacterium
Lineage: Bacteria
Description: partial 16S ribosomal RNA
Rfam family: Bacterial small subunit ribosomal RNA
Source: RNAcentral
UACGUAGGGUGCAAGCGUUGUCCGGAAUUAUUGGGCGUAAAGAGCUCGUAGGCGGCCUGUCGCGUCGGGAGUGAAAGCCCACUGCUUAACGGUGGGUCUGCUUCCGGUACGGGCGGGCUGGAGUAUGGCAGGGGAGACUGGAAUUCCUGGUGUAGCGGUGGAAUGCGCAGAUAUCAGGAGGAACACCGGUGGCGAAGGCGGGUCUCUGGGCCAUUACUGACGCUGAGGAGCGAAAGCGUGGGGAGCGAACAGG